This 1241-nucleotide ribosomal RNA is filed under the name metagenome. RNAcentral describes it as "bacterial LSU rRNA". It matches the Rfam family "Bacterial large subunit ribosomal RNA", at positions 1564 to 2814 of the family's 2925-position model. The record is from RNAcentral.
UGAAUACGAGACGCUAAGGCGUCGAAGUAGUGUAUGUCAUACUUCCAAGAAAAGCUUGCACUGUCAUAGAUAAAAAACGCCUGUACCAUAACCGACACAGGUGGGUAGGUAGAGUAUACUAAGGGGCGCGAGAUAACUCUCUCUAAGGAACUCGGCAAAAUAACUCCGUAACUUCGGGAGAAGGAGUGCCUUAUUAUUAAGGUUGCAAUAACAAGAUCCAAGCAACUGCUUAUCAAAAACACAGGUCUCCGCUAAGUCGUAAGACGAUGUAUGGGGGCUGACGCCUGCCCAGUGCCAGAAGGUUAAAGAAGCUGGUUAGCAUUUGCGAAGCUAGUAACUGAAGCCCUGGUGAACGGCGGCCGUAACAAUAACGGUCCUAAGGUAGCGAAAUUCCUUGUCGGGUAAGUUCCGACCCGCACGAAAGGCGUAAUGAUUUGGAUACUGUCUCGGAGAGGGGCUCGGUGAAAUAGACUUGUCUGUGAAGAUGCGGACUACCUGCACCAGGACAGAAAGACCCUAUGAAGCUUUACUGUAACUUGAAAUUGAAAUUGGACUUUAUUCGCGCAGUAUAGGUGGGAGGCGUUGAUUAUAAUCAUGCGGGAUUAUUGGAGCCAUUAGUGAGAUACCACUCUUGUAAUGUUAGAUUUCUAACUUUGAAUCAUUAUCUGGUCAAAGAACAGUUUCAGGCGGGCAGUUUGACUGGGGCGGUCGCCUCCUAAACGGUAACGGAGGCGUACAAAGGUUUCCUCUGAACGGUUAGAAAUCGUAUCUAGAGUGUAAAGGCAUAAGGAAGCUUGACUGUGAGACCUACAAGUCGAGCAGGGACGAAAGUCGGUCUUAGUGAUCUGACGGUACUGAGUGGAAAGGCCGUCACUCAACGGAUAAAAGUUACUCUAAGGGUAACAGGCUGAUCUCCCCCAAGAGUUCACAUCGACGGGGAGGUUUGGCACCUCGAUGUCGGCUCAUCGCAUCCUGGGGCGGUAGUACGUCCCAAGGGUUGGGCUGUUCGCCCAUGAAAGCGGUACGCGAGCUGGGUUCAGAACGUCGUGUGACAGUUCGGUCCAUAUCCGGUGUAGGCGUUAGAAUAUUGAGAGGAGCCUUCUUUAGUACGAGAGGACCGAGAAGGACAUACCUCUGGUGUACCAGUUAUCGUGCCAACGGUAGACGCUGGGUAGCUAUGUAUGGAGUGGAUAACCGCUGAAAGCAUCUAAGUGGGAAGCCCACCUCAAGAUAAGUAUUCU